UACGUAGGGUGCGAGCGUUGUCCGGAAUUAUUGGGCGUAAAGAGCGUGUAGGCGGUCCGGUAAGUCGGCUGUGAAAGUCCAGGGCUCAACCCUGGGAUGCCGGUCGAUACUGCCGGACUAGAGUUCGGAAGAGGCGAGUGGAAUUCCCGGUGUAGCGGUGAAAUGCGCAGAUAUCGGGAGGAACGCCUAUGGCGAAGGCAGCUCGCUGGGACGUUACUGACGCUGAGACGCGAAAGCGUGGGGAGCAAACAGG
RNAcentral lists this ribosomal RNA (253 nucleotides) under uncultured bacterium. RNAcentral describes it as "partial 16S ribosomal RNA". It matches the Rfam family "Bacterial small subunit ribosomal RNA", at positions 524 to 776 of the family's 1533-position model. The record is from RNAcentral.